UCCUGGCUCAGAAUGAACGUUGGCGGCGUGGAUUAGGCAUGCAAGUCGAGGGAGAACCCGCAAGGGGGACACCGGCGAACGGGGUAGGAUCAUCUCGGUGACGUACCCUCCGGACGGGGAUAGCCACGGGAAACUGUGGGUAAUACCCGAUGACCUGGCAGGCGAUUAGGGCUUGUCAGCAAAGGUGAGAUUCCACCGGAGGAGCGGCUGAGACGCUAUUAGCUUGUUGGUGAGGUAAUGGCUUACCAAGGCGACGAUGGCUAGGGGGUGUGAGAGCAUGGCCCCCACACUGGCACUGAGACACUGGCCAGACACCUACGGGUGGCUGCAGUCGAGAAUCUUCGGCAAUGGCGCAAGCCUGACCGAGCGACGCCGCGUGCGGGAUGAAGGUCUUCGGAUUGUAAACCGCUGUCGGAGGGGAUGAAGUGUAUGGGAGCAAUCUCCUGUAUUUGACAGAGCUCGGAGGAAGCACGGGCUAAGUUCGUG
Molecule: ribosomal RNA, 486 nt
Filed under: uncultured bacterium
Lineage: Bacteria
Description: bacterial SSU rRNA
Rfam family: Bacterial small subunit ribosomal RNA
Source: RNAcentral